RNAcentral lists this ribosomal RNA (231 nucleotides) under uncultured bacterium. RNAcentral's name for it is "partial 16S ribosomal RNA". It matches the Rfam family "Bacterial small subunit ribosomal RNA", at positions 524 to 753 of the family's 1533-position model. The record is from RNAcentral.
GACGAACCGUGCGAACGUUAUUCGGAAUCACUGGGCUUAAAGCGCGUGUAGGCGGGACGGCACGUCUGUCGCUGAAAUCCCCCGGCUUAACCGGGGAACUGGCGUAGAUACGACCGUCCUGGAGGGCGUAGGGGGACCUGGAACUUCCGGUGGAGCGGUGAAAUGCGUUGAGAUCGGAAGGAACGCCCGUGGCGAAAGCGAGGUCCUGGACGCCUACGUGACGCUGAGACG